RNAcentral lists this ribosomal RNA (435 nucleotides) under uncultured bacterium. RNAcentral's name for it is "partial 16S ribosomal RNA". It matches the Rfam family "Bacterial small subunit ribosomal RNA", at positions 28 to 507 of the family's 1533-position model. The record is from RNAcentral.
GAUGAACGCUGGCGGUAUGCUUAACACAUGCAAGUCGAACGGACUCUUCGGAGUUAGUGGCGGACGGGUGAGUAACGCGUGAGGAUCUGGCUUUGGGUUCGGGACAACCACUGGAAACGGUGGCUAAUACCGGAUGUGCCGAGAGGUAAAAGAGAAAUUGCCUGAAGAUGAGCUCGCGUCUGAUUAGCUAGUUGGUGAGGUAAAGGCUCACCAAGGCAGCGAUCAGUAGCUGGUCUGAGAGGAUGACCAGCCACACUGGGACUGAGACACGGCCCAGACUCCUACGGGAGGCAGCAGUGGGGAAUUUUCCGCAAUGGGCGAAAGCCUGACGGAGCAAUACCGCGUGAGGGAAGAAGGCUCUUGGGUUGUAAACCUCUUUUCUUAGGGAAGAACAAAAUGACGGUACCUAAGGAAUCAGCAUCGGCUAACUCCGUG